RNAcentral lists this ribosomal RNA (440 nucleotides) under uncultured bacterium. RNAcentral's name for it is "partial 16S ribosomal RNA". It matches the Rfam family "Bacterial small subunit ribosomal RNA", at positions 338 to 795 of the family's 1533-position model. The record is from RNAcentral.
CCUACGGGGGGAUGCAGUGGGGAAUAUUGCACAAUGGGGGAAACCCUGAUGCAGCGACGCCGCGUGAGUGAAGAAGUAUCUCGGUACGUAAAGCUCUAUCAGCAGGGAAGAAAAUGACGGUACCUGACUAAGAAGCCCCGGCUAACUACGUGCCAGCAGCCGCGGUAAUACGUAGGGGGCAAGCGUUAUCCGGAUUUACUGGGUGUAAAGGGAGCGUAGACGGCAGUGUAAGUCUGUAGUGAAAUCCCGGGGCUUAACCCCGGAACUGCUUUGGAAACUGUGCGGCUGGAGUGCAGGAGGGGUAAGCGGAAUUCCUAGUGUAGCGGUGAAAUGCGUAGAUAUCAGGAGGAACACCGGUGGCGAAGGCGGCAUACUGGACUGUAACUGACGUUGAGGCUCGAAAGCGUGGGGAGCAAACAGGAUUAGAUACCCGUGUAGUC